AAGUCGUAACAAGGUAACCGUAGGUGAACCUGCGGUUGGAUCAUUAACAAAUUUUAAUAAGUUAUUCCUUUCGAGGAAUUUACUUUUAAACACUUUUUGUGAACUGUUUUAUUGUCUCUUGGUGUGGUAACGGAUGAAUAAUCUUAAAACAAGAGGUUUUUUAUUUUUAAAAUAAAGCUUCUUGUGAGCCCACCAAUUUUUUUUUUAAACUUUAAGUUAUUACCUUUUUUUGUCUUUAAUUUUAAAUCAUUAAAAAUAAUUUAAAAACAACUUUUAACAACGGAUCUCUAGGCUCUCA
RNAcentral lists this unclassified non-coding RNA (298 nucleotides) under fungal sp. RNAcentral's name for it is "partial internal transcribed spacer region". The stretch from base 1 to 46 matches the Rfam family "Eukaryotic small subunit ribosomal RNA", at positions 1786 to 1831 of the family's 1831-position model. Lineage: Eukaryota; Fungi. The record is from RNAcentral.